UGCAAGUCGAACGAGAGAGAGGGAGCUUGCUUCCUCAAUCGAGUGGCGAACGGGCGAGUAACGCGUGAGGAACCUGCCUCAAAGAGGGGGACAACAGUUGGAAACGACUGCUAAUACCGCAUAAGCCCACAGGUCGGCAUCGACCAGAGGGAAAAGGAGCAAUCCGCUUUGAGAUGGCCUCGCGUCCGAUUAGCUAGUUGGUGAGGUAAUGGCCCACCAAGGCAACGAUCGGUAGCCGGACUGAGAGGUUGAACGGCCACAUUGGGACUGAGACACGGCCCAGACUCCUACGGGAGGCAGCAGUGGGGAAUAUUGCACAAUGGGGGAAACCCUGACGCAGCGACGCCGCGUGGAGGAAGAAGGUCUUCGGAUUGUAAACUCCUGUUGUUGAGGAAGAUAAUGACGGUACUCAACAAGGAAGUGACGGCUAACUACGUGCCAGCAGCCGCGGUAAAACGUAGGUCACAAGCGUUGUCCGGAAUUACUGGGUGUAAAGGGAGCGCAGGCGGGAAGACAAGUUGGAAGUGAAAUCUAUGGGCUCAACCCAUAAACUGCUUUCAAAACUGUUUUUCUUGAGUAGUGCAGAGGUAGGCGGAAUUCCCGGUGUAGCGGUGGAAUGCGUAGAUAUCGGGAGGAACACCAGUGGCGAAGGCGGCCUACUGGGCACCAACUGACGCUGAGGCUCGAAAGUGUGGGUAGCAAACAGGAUUAGAUACCCUGGUAGUCCACACCGUAAACGAUGAUUACUAGGUGUUGGAGGAUUGACCCCUUCAGUGCCGCAGUUAACACAAUAAGUAAUCCACCUGGGGAGUACGACCGCA
Molecule: ribosomal RNA, 821 nt
Filed under: uncultured bacterium
Lineage: Bacteria
Description: bacterial SSU rRNA
Rfam family: Bacterial small subunit ribosomal RNA
Source: RNAcentral